Molecule: long non-coding RNA, 238 nt
Organism: Gallus gallus (chicken)
Lineage: Eukaryota; Metazoa; Chordata; Aves; Galliformes; Phasianidae
Exons: 2
Source: RefSeq, a predicted model, not a curated record
CAGGACAAGCUCCUCAGUACAGAGGAGAAUCCCCUGCGUGUGAGACGUGUGGCCCUGGAUCUGCAUCUCUAGAUGCCCUCGGACAUCCUCUGAUGACCAGCGCUGCCCUCUGAUGACCAGUGUUGCCCUCUGAUGACCGAUGAAGACCCUGAUGAUCAAUGACACCCUCUGAUGACCGAUGAAGACCCUGAUGAUCACUGACCCCCUCUGAUGAUCAAUAAAUCCCUCAGCAAAUCUA